Molecule: long non-coding RNA, 533 nt
Organism: Solanum tuberosum (potato)
Lineage: Eukaryota; Viridiplantae; Streptophyta; Magnoliopsida; Solanales; Solanaceae
Exons: 5
Source: RefSeq, a predicted model, not a curated record
GAAGUGGUAAAACAUUUUUGUACCGUGCUUUAUUGGCCAUUGUAAGAUCUAAAGGUUUCAUAGCUUUGGCGACAUCAACUUCUGGUGUUGCGGCAUCUAUACUUCCUGGAGGACGAACAGCCCAUUCACGUUUCAAAAUUCCAAUUAAUAUUGACGAGCAGUUCUCCUGUAACAUCAAUAAUGAUGAUGAUCACUCAACUUGUAAUGUAGUAUACAAUGAGAUCAUUCAAAAAGCUUUGUUAUGAACAUAUUCCACGUGCUCCACACCAUUCAGGAGUAAAGUUAGUUGUACUGUCAAAUUUUGACAUCCAGUUAAAACCACUGUUGAAAACUCUUGAGUUGUAAUCACUGCUCAGCUAAGAGGUUAAAUAGCACAUGACAUACUUUUCGGCUAACCAACUAUAUGGACUUAGAUAGCAGCUAAUGGAAGAUUCAGAUUAGGAUAAAAGAUUAAUCAGCAUUAUAUUCCCUCUAAUGUAGCUAUGGAUGAAAGAAUUAUCAAAAAUUGUCAGCUACUUAGUGUAAUACAAUUC